This is a non-coding RNA of Phrynosoma platyrhinos (Desert horned lizard), 72 nucleotides long. Lineage: Eukaryota; Metazoa; Chordata; Lepidosauria; Squamata; Phrynosomatidae. The record is from the annotation of a GenBank genome assembly.
GACAGUAUGGUGUAGUGGUUUGAGCAUUAGACUAUGACUCUGGAGAUGUGGGUUUGAAUCCCUACUUGGCCA